UUACUAGCAUAUUAAUGUGCAUAUGGUUUAAAAAAACACAUUUUAAAACAUAGAUGGUCUGAGAUUGCCAGAUGUAUUGUAAUAUUUGCCAAAUAAGACCAUACAAACUUUUGAAUUAAGCAGUAGAAAGAAAUAAUGCAGCUUCCCGCCAUUGUUUUCACCAAGGUCUGAAACUCUAAUAUUAUUACAGACUAGGGAUGUCACAAUACCAAAAAUCUAGAAGUCGGUACCAAUACCACCAAAAGUACACGAUACUCGAUACCAAAUUCGAUACCACGGUGUGGUAUAAAUAUAAAAUGAAAAAAUUUUAAUAAAAACUUUUUAAAAAUUUAAUUGCAACCCCGGUACCUCCACAAGAAUCGGUUCCAAUGCUAUUCCAGAAAAACAAGUACCGUCACGUUUUAAGAAUGUUGGUACCGACUUGGUACCAAAGUAUCAGUUCUCGUGACAUCCCUAUUACAGACAGCGUCGUAAUUAAAGUAUAACUUAUUAUUAAGAACUAAUAGACCAAUAGACCAAAAAAGUAACCAACACUGAAUGCCUAUGAAGUAAAAAGUAAGAUACUUUUACUAUUACAGCAGUUGAAAAGUCGGCAUAUUCCAUGGGAAAACUGCAGAUGUUGAAAACUGGUAAGACUGAUAAGCAAGUCUAAUUUUAAACCUGGCAUAAAUGUUAAUAUAUGAUUAUUUAUUGUAGUUUAUUACAUUGUUUAUUUCAUGGGUUGCUGAGGCACCAUUCCUCCUGGCUCUCAAAGAUGUUAUUUCCAGGCACACUACCUUCCUUACACAACUCUCUUAAUCUUGUUUGUCAUUCAGAUCACUGGUUUAUACUGCAAGUGGUGAUAUAUAAUGAAUUCAACAGUGUGUUUUGUUUAGAAAUCUGAAGAAAGCAUCUAUGGUAACUCAGCAUAAGCACCGUGCAUUUGUAUCACCAUGUUUCUAAAGCUGUUUUGGAGACUUUGGCUUAUGUAUUAGGCUGCAUAUACCUCUAUACUGUAUAUUAAAUGAUCUCUUAUUGUAAAGGUCAGCACCUAAAAUACAAUUUACUGUGCUUUAUGUAAAUUAGGUUUAUUGUGAUCUGCUUUAAAAAAAAAAAAAAGUCUCCAAAAACUUAGGCAUGCUAUUUAGUGCAGCUCAUGAUUUUAAUUUGUAGAGGUCAACAAUAAUGGACAGCUACCUAGACUGAACGUGAACCCACUGUGCACAUUGCUGUCCAUCUACUAUAAGCAACUGCAGUGGGGCUCUUAAUGUUUAACUGUUCAAUUUAUCCGGCCAAACCUAUGGGGUUGUCAGAUAGUGAGACAUCAGAUUGGAUAAGGCAAAAUGGACCUUAGAGCGUCCUGCAAGCUUAAGCUUUUCUUAAGCAAUAUAAAUCCACGGCUUUGCACACGCUCUGCCAAAUUUGAUGGCAUUUUAAAUCGGUUUGAAUUUCAAAAGAGCUUAUCGCAAGCAGGACCAGGCGUGAGCAGGACCUGGUUGGUCGUGACGUCGGCUUCGACCUGGAACGGGAUCUUGGCGUGAGCAGAGCUUGGGUUGGCCGUCUCUUCGACCUUGGACUAGUCACACUUAUUUGGUGCAGCUUGGCAUGGCAAGCAAUGGACUACCAUCCUGAUGAAUUGUCCCAUUUUGUGCCCAGUGUUACCAGAAUAGACUCCAGAUCCACCCUGGCCGUAAUUAGGAUAAAAUGGCUACUGAAAAUGAAUGAAUGAAUGAAUGAAUGAAUGAAUGGAUGAAUUAAUAUAAAUGUGCAUUAUUAGUGAGUCCAAUUUUGCAUAGAACUAUGUACAGUUUUUGAACUAGUCGGCUACAGAUAUACAGAUAAUGCAAUGUAAUGUAAUGCAAAAUUGUAAUGUAAUGCAAAUAAAACAUGAAUAUGGUCAGAAUUGUACUGCUUUGUGUAGUGAAAAGUUAUUUUCAUGGUACUUUAAAGAGCAAAGUAAUUUGAAAUGUUGUCAAAGGUAAUUGAUGUUAAUGUCAAACUCUGGAAUUGCCAUCCAUUUUCCAUACCGCUUAUCCUACACAGUGUUGCCUGGAGCCCAUCGAAGGGAACUCGGG
Ictalurus punctatus (channel catfish) is the source of this 2054-nucleotide long non-coding RNA. RefSeq lists it as uncharacterized. The record is from RefSeq and is a predicted model, not a curated record. The transcript is spliced from 3 exons. Lineage: Eukaryota; Metazoa; Chordata; Actinopteri; Siluriformes; Ictaluridae.